This 825-nucleotide ribosomal RNA is filed under the name uncultured bacterium. Its description in RNAcentral is "bacterial SSU rRNA". It matches the Rfam family "Bacterial small subunit ribosomal RNA", at positions 8 to 818 of the family's 1533-position model. The record is from RNAcentral.
AGAGUUUGAUCAUGGUUCAGAAUGAACGCUAGUUACAGGCUUAACACAUGCAAGUCGAGGGGAAACGACAUCGAAAGCUUGCUUUUGAUGGGCGUCGACCGGCGCACGGGUGAGUAACGCGUAUCCAACCCUGCCCACCACUUGGGGAUAACCCUUGCGAAAGUAAGACUAAUACCCGAUGAUAUCCCUAGAAGACAUCUGAAAGGGAUUAAAGAUUUAUCGGUGAUGGAUGGGGAUGCGUCUGAUUAGCUUGUUGGCGGGGUAACGGCCCACCAAGGCAACGAUCAGUAGGGGUUCUGAGAGGAAGGUCCCCCACAUUGGAACUGAGACACGGUCCAAACUCCUACGGGAGGCAGCAGUGAGGAAUAUUGGUCAAUGGGCGAGAGCCUGAACCAGCCAAGUAGCGUGCAGGACGACGGCCCUAUGGGUUGUAAACUGCUUUUAUAAGGGAAUAAAGUGAGUCUCGUGAGACUUUUUGCAUGUACCUUAUGAAUAAGGACCGGCUAAUUCCGUGCCAGCAGCCGCGGUAAUACGGAAGGUCCGGGCGUUAUCCGGAUUUAUUGGGUUUAAAGGGAGCGUAGGCCGGAGAUUAAGCGUGUUGUGAAAUGUAGACGCUCAACGUCUGCACUGCAGCGCGAACUGGUUUCCUUGAGUACGCACAAAGUGGGCGGAAUUCGUGGUGUAGCGGUGAAAUGCUUAGAUAUCACGAAGAACUCCGAUUGCGAAGGCAGCUCACUGGAGCGCAACUGACGCUGAAGCUCGAAAGUGCGGGUAUCGAACAGGAUUAGAUACCCUGGUAGUCCGCACGGUAAACGAUGGAUGCCC